GGGUUUGUGUCUCAGUGUAGAGUGCUCGCCUAGCAUGUGAGAGGCACUGGGUUCGAUCCUCAGCUCCA
Molecule: transfer RNA, 68 nt
Filed under: Marmota monax (woodchuck)
Lineage: Eukaryota; Metazoa; Chordata; Mammalia; Rodentia; Sciuridae
Description: tRNA.Ala
Source: RNAcentral